UUAACCUGCCCACUGAUUUAUUGAAGGGCCGCAGUAAUUUGACUGUGCAAAGGUAGCAUAAUCAUUAGUUUUUUAAUUAAAAGCUUGUAUGAAGGGUUGGACGAGGUAAAUUCUGUCUCUAAAUAAUUUAUUUUAGAAUUUAAUUUUUAAGUUAAAAAGCUUAGAUAUAUUUAAAAGACGAGAAGACCCUAUAGAUCUUUAUAUUAUAUUUAUUAAUUUGGUUAAAGAUUGAUUUAUUUUUUAAGUAAAUAUAUUAUUUUAUUGGGGUAAUAAAAAGAUUUAAGAAAUUCUUUUUUUAUUUAUACAUUGAUAGAUGAUUUUAUGAUCCAUUAUUAUUGAUUAAAAGAUUAAGUUACCUUAGGGAUAACAGCGUAAUUUUUUUUGAGAGUUCAUAUCGAUAAAAAAGUUUGCGACCUCGAUGUUGGAUUAAAAAUUAUUUUAGGUGUAGAAGCUUGAAAAUUUGGUCUGUUCGACCAUUAAAUUUUU
RNAcentral lists this ribosomal RNA (486 nucleotides) under Ilybius angustior. RNAcentral describes it as "partial 16S ribosomal RNA". It matches the Rfam family "Bacterial large subunit ribosomal RNA", at positions 1854 to 2597 of the family's 2925-position model. The record is from RNAcentral. Lineage: Eukaryota; Metazoa; Arthropoda; Insecta; Coleoptera; Dytiscidae.